Vicia villosa (hairy vetch) is the source of this 490-nucleotide long non-coding RNA. RefSeq lists it as uncharacterized. The record is from RefSeq and is a predicted model, not a curated record. Lineage: Eukaryota; Viridiplantae; Streptophyta; Magnoliopsida; Fabales; Fabaceae. The transcript has 2 exons.
AUGAAAUCUAAAAUAUUUAUUUUUACAACUUUACAAGUACUAUGUGUUAAACACUCAACAAGUGUUAAAAACAAAUAUAAGUGUUGAUAUUUUAAAUAUGGCUAAAAUUGUCAUGUUUGUUCAUGUUAUGACUUUCAUUCUUUCUCUAUGUUUUCUCACAAUGAACGUCAACGCGGGGCGCCGUAAAUGUUGUAGAGACGAUGAUUGUCCAGCAAGUGAUUGUAGCACUCCUUCGAUACCUAUGUGUUUUUUCAAAAUGUGUAUAUGUAUUUGAGUGACUUCACAUAUACAUGAUGAUCAAAUCCUAUAAUAUUAAAUAAGUUCUCCUUAGUUGUGGUAUCGACAUCUGAUAAUUUAUUUUUAUUUAGUUGUUUUUUCAAAUUUUAUGGUCUAUAAAUAAUGGCUUUAAAAUAAGGUAUCAAAAAAGAUUAUAUAAACUUUUUUUAAUGCUGGAAUAAUAUAUAUAAUUUAUAUUAUUACGAAUAAUAUA